AAAACAGCCUCCCCGGAUAAGACAGCUGUAACAUACUAGGACAUCUAUUGUUGUUAUAAAAUACCUAGAUCUUCUAGGGAAUAUUUUGACAGCUUUAAUAGUGAUCUGAUUCUUGGUUUUAAUAUUAUUCCUCUUACUGUAUCUCCAAAUGGAAAGAACGUAGAGAAUGACAUCAAGUGCACAGGAAAGUAUACAUUUCUACCAGGCCCUUUGCAUACAGGUCCUGUGGAACAGAGAUUACUAAACCAACAGGAUUUGAAAGGGAGUGACUGUAUCCUGACCACUAAAGGAAAAGGAAAGAAGAAAAGAGAAUAUUCUGAGACCUUCAAAAACAAUGUUAUCUCAAACUGAAAUUCACAGGGAGGAACUAUAGUUUAAGGACUAGAUCCAUGAAAAUAACAAUGAAGGAAGCAGAGGCCAUAUAAAUGUUAUCACACUGUCUGACUCAGGAUAAUUCUUCACGUUUGCCAUUGACUUAGCAGGGAUGACAACAGAAGGCAAUGUCCAGCAUCUUCUAUUAGACCCCUUGGGGCAGAAGCUGAGAGGAACAGCAAGAUUAAAUCCCAGAAGAGGCUUUAGUUGGGAAAAUAUACCAAGAGUCAAGAGAGAGCAGUGAAGUCCUUGGUUCAUAUAUAGGUAUGGUUUAAUUAGAUGAUUUUAAUCUUGUUGACUGCUCUCCUUACUUUCCUCUGCAUCCAUCAAUCUCCCACAGUUGAAAACUUAGGUUAGAUUGCUCAUGGCACUAUUUGACACAAUUCAAGUCUAAGUGUAAUAUCUCUGCUUUCUCCUUUCCAUUAGACAGUUCAAAGCCUUGAAAAUGUACUUAAUAAAAGUUGAGUGCCUGUAUAUAUGUGCGUAUAA
RNAcentral lists this long non-coding RNA (861 nucleotides) under Numida meleagris (helmeted guineafowl). RNAcentral describes it as "lncRNA (ENSNMEG00000010719.1)". Lineage: Eukaryota; Metazoa; Chordata; Aves; Galliformes; Numididae. The record is from RNAcentral.